GGGCCCGUAGCUCAGCCAGGCAGAGCGGCGGGCUCCAGACCCGUAGGUCAGGGGUUCGAAUCCCCUCGGGCCCA
Molecule: transfer RNA, 74 nt
Filed under: Desulfurococcus sp.
Lineage: Archaea; Thermoproteati; Thermoproteota; Thermoprotei; Desulfurococcales; Desulfurococcaceae
Also listed under: 7 other names
Description: tRNA-Trp
Rfam family: tRNA
About the family: Transfer RNA (tRNA) molecules are approximately 80 nucleotides in length. Their secondary structure includes four short double-helical elements and three loops (D, anti-codon, and T loops).
Source: RNAcentral